UCCACCCAGGACCAAUCAAACAAUUACCUUAGGUGCUAGAAAUGGGUGGGGCUUACACGUCACAUAUUCAGUGAACGGCUAACAUCACAUAUAGGCCUACUCCAAUAUCUCACCUUUUUUUUUUUUUUUUUAUUGUGAAAUCUCCAAAAGAUUUUGGACAGAUUUGGAGUCUCACUUUUUUUUGAACCCACCAACUUUAUCUACUCCUUAAACCUUACAGAUAUCAUCUGUUUCUACGAUAAUUCAGGUGUGAGGAUGGUGGGUCAGGAAAGACAGGAGAAGGCAACAGUUUAGCAGGUCCUGGGCUCCAGGUGCUUCCAGGUUCUGGAUGGUGCUGACCCUGUUCAGACUCUGCUGAAGGAAGAGCUGAGCCGACUCCACAGAACCAGAACCGCAACGCGAGUCCACCAAGUCCAGACCGUUGCCUGGCAACUAAAAGACAGGACAACAGUUACCGGCGAGACGGAGAGCGCCCCGUCGACUGUCUAAAGCCCAGUAGUAGAUCUUAGCACAACUGAGCAAAGUGCAAUAAAUACACCCGCGCUUUUUGCACAUAGCCCUUCAA
Long non-coding RNA from Perca fluviatilis (European perch), 565 nucleotides. RefSeq lists it as uncharacterized. Lineage: Eukaryota; Metazoa; Chordata; Actinopteri; Perciformes; Percidae. The transcript is spliced from 3 exons. The record is from RefSeq and is a predicted model, not a curated record.